This 756-nucleotide long non-coding RNA is filed under the name Brassica rapa (field mustard). Its description in RNAcentral is "long non-coding RNA (BRAP_LNC007988)". The record is from RNAcentral. Lineage: Eukaryota; Viridiplantae; Streptophyta; Magnoliopsida; Brassicales; Brassicaceae.
UUAUUUUUUACUAUCGUAUGCCUUAAUUUAAUUGGCAAUAAAUUCUUCAAAAAAACUAGAAACUCGGUAUGUAUUUUUUUAAAUAGACAAUAGUAAAUGAGUUAUUCUUGGGUUCAAUUUAUAGGGUGAACCUCUAGAUUCACCAAUUAAUAGAAUUUCAUUAUUUCAAAUUCGAUAUAUUUUAAAAAUAAAACAAAAUAUUGUCAAAUUAUAUUAUGUUUUUAAAAUAAAAAGGUAAAAAGAAAUAAAUAAAAAAUAAUAAUAAUUAAAAAAAAAAUAUUUUUAACAUUAUAAAAAUAACUAAACCCUAAAUCUUAAUCCCUAAAACCUAAACACUUGGGUAAACCCUAAACCCUUGGAUAAAUCUUAAACUCUAAAUCAAAAACACUAAACACUAAAACACUCAAGGGUAUCGUAUUUAGGGUUUAGGGUUUCAGUGUUUAGUGUUUUUGAUUUAAAGUUUAUGAUUUAUCUAACGGUUUACACAAGGAUUUAGGAUUUCAAAUUUAGAGGUUAGGGAUUAGAAUUUACGGUUUAGUUUUUGCUGAUGAUGUUAAAAACAAAAUUUUAAUUUUUUUUUUCUGCAACUACUAUUUUUUCUUAACUUUUUAUUUUAAAAACAUAAUAUAACUUGACAAUAUUUUUUUUACUUUAAAAAAUAUAUUGAAUUUGAAAUAAUAAAAUCUUAUUGGUUGGUGAACUUAGUGAUUCACCCUAGGGGGUGAACCCAAAAAUAACUCAUAGUAAAUAACCGUU